CGCAGAGGGGCGGGGCGCUUGGCUCCCUGGUUCCGCGCGGAGGCAACUCCUGCCUGACUCGCUUGAGGUCUAAAGACAGUCGGAGUCCUAGCGGCUCCCAGUGCCUGAUUCCCACCCGUUCGGUCCCCCUCAGGUGCUCAUCUGGCUGGAACACACCAGCCCAGGCUGAGCUUUGUGGGGAGAUGGGCUCUCUGGCUUUAGCAACUGGCGCAUCUCAACCCUGUGUCCCCAGCCUAGAGACUAGACUCUGCACUCCCAUUGUGUUAGGUCUCGCACUGGGCAGAGGGCUUCUGACCCCUGCUCUGCUCACAGAUUCCUAGACAGGGAUUCCCACGACUCCUACAUCUCCAACACAAAGAGGCAGAGGUGGUGGCAGUCUAUGCCAAGUAGAAACGCACAGAGAUGGCCAUUUCCUGUCUGCUGGCCAGAGGAGUUGACCCUGCAGCCUUCCCACUGCAUGAACUGGAGAUGACCCAAGCUCAGCUCUCUCCCACUGCCGGGGCAUCAGGAGGGAACCCUGCAGCCCUCCCUCCUUUCGUCUGCCUGGGGCCCUUUGACCCGCCCAGGUUGCUGUGCUCCUGCUGGGCUUGCUGGAGAUGCUGGCACAAGAGUACUCUGGGGAGAAGUUGGGCUACUUCUCUGUCUGGGGACUGUGUUCUUCAGCAUCUUUAUGUCCUUGUGGGCCACGGCCUUCCUGGAGCACCGGAAGUGCAAGAGCAUCACCCUUGUCCACCACUGGGACCGCAGUGACUUCCAGGAAGAGGAGCCAAUAGAACUCUGACCAUCUCUACCUUUUGCCCAGAGAUGCACAGAACCCAGACCUUCCACGAAGACCUUCACUUUCAGAGUCUUCUUCUUUGAGUUUGUCGAUUUUCUACUUUUCCUUCUACAUGGCAUUCUUCCAAGGCAGGGGAGGACCCCCUACCCGACCCGGGGCUGUUGCCUCCCAACAAAGUGGGCCGACAGAGUGGCAUCAUCCUUGAACCUCCAGAUUUGUUUCUACCAAGGUCUUGCCGUUGACCUUGAAAUUGGUCCUCGAUUUCCCUGGGCUUCAAUUUCCUCAACUGUAAUGUGCUAACACAUCACUGGGUCAAUAUGAAACUUCAACACCUGCA
Long non-coding RNA from Felis catus (domestic cat), 1115 nucleotides. RefSeq lists it as uncharacterized. The transcript is spliced from 4 exons. The record is from RefSeq and is a predicted model, not a curated record. Lineage: Eukaryota; Metazoa; Chordata; Mammalia; Carnivora; Felidae.